UUCCUUGUAAGUACGUGAGACACACGUUCCUUAGCCACGUUUUUCUUUCGAUCGUUGAAGAGUAAGCAGCUAGAACUUUUGUCUUCUGUGGAAGUUUUUUUGUGAAGACUUUUAAUUCUCUUUUAACCACUCGGCGAUUGUUUUGAAAUCGUUUACUUUCGAGCACCCAAAGACUGUUUUCUUUCCUUGGUGAUGUGUCUUGAAAUCACGACGAUGAAAGGAAACUACCAGAAGGACAUCAAGACCGCGCCUGUUCAUAAGAAAAAGUGGUCAAAAUCAAAGAAGAGGACAUUUCUGCGUGCAAAUAUGGGCGAAAGGAGACGAAAGGUCCGCGUUUGGUCGGCCAGGAGACCACAGCCGAGUCCGGACCGUGUCGAUAGCACAUCUACGGGAAAUCAAAGUUAUGUACCAUCUGUAGCCAUGGCACCAAGAAACACAACGCAGUAUUUAAUGGACUUGGUGUACGCUGAACAAUCAGAUGUUUCAAUGGAGGCGUUUGAUGUAAGCCGUGAUUUCUCAAUGUACAGUAAUGAGGGUGUUUUCUCAACGUCAGACUCUGAUUACGACAGAUCUUUGGAAUUUCAACAGCGAGACUUCGAGAACGUCUUCUUCAGGAAUGAAAUCUGACGUGUUUCCGAAACCUGACUCGAUUGAUUUCGUCGGAACGAGAUGACCGCGACAGCUGUGAAAACCAUAGACAGUAAAAUCAUUGCGCAGACUCCAACUCAAGGAGGCGGAACGCUCUGCGUCACAGCGGCGCGAUGACGUGUACCCCACGCCCCGCCCCCAGUACGGCCACCACCACGUGGCCAGCAGGUAAACCCGCUCCACCCUUUGUGUACGCGGUGUAAGAGCGUUGCAGUAACGUGCAGACGCAGUGUAAUUACUGAGAAAUGUGCAUGCAUUGUUCUGCCAACGGAUGCAUGUGUGUUUUGGGAGACUUUUACAGGUUGCUGAUCCUCCUCGGUGGAUUUCAGCUGUCUGUGCAACCCACCCAGAGCCUUGGGACAAAGCUGCAUCACUGCUGGGCAACUGUACAUGCUGUGGUAAAUGUUUGAAUGUAAAUUCACACAAGUGCACUCAAAACUACAACUCAUGUGAUAUGAUAUACUUUGUGAGAAAUUUUGUAAAUAUUGAUUGUAUAAACUAUUAAAAUGUGUUAAUUAUUAAAACUUAAAUUUGACUUUAA
Long non-coding RNA from Labeo rohita (rohu), 1189 nucleotides. RefSeq lists it as uncharacterized. NCBI's taxonomy places the organism in Eukaryota, Metazoa, Chordata, Actinopteri, Cypriniformes, Cyprinidae. The transcript is spliced from 2 exons. The record is from RefSeq and is a predicted model, not a curated record.